GAUGAAGAACGCAGCGAAAUGCGAUAAGUAAUGUGAAUUGCAGAAUUCCGUGAAUCAUCGAAUCUUUGAACGCACAUUGCGCCCCCUGGUAUUCCGGGGGGCAUGCCUGUCCGAGCGUCAUUGAACGCAACUCAAGCCCCCGGGCUUGGUGUUGGGGAUCGGCGAGCCUCCGCGCCCGCCGUCCCCUAAAUCUAGUGGCGGUCUCGCUGUAGCUUCCUCUGCGUAGUAGCACACCUCGCACUGGGAAACAGCGCGGCCACGCCGUUAAACCCCCAACUUCUGAACGUUUGACCUCGGAUCAGGUAGGAAUACCCGCUGAACUUAAGCAUAUCAAUAAGCGGAGGA
RNAcentral lists this unclassified non-coding RNA (345 nucleotides) under soil metagenome. RNAcentral describes it as "partial contains 5.8S ribosomal RNA, internal transcribed spacer 2, and large subunit ribosomal RNA". The stretch from base 1 to 120 matches the Rfam family "5.8S ribosomal RNA", at positions 35 to 154 of the family's 154-position model. The record is from RNAcentral.